Molecule: long non-coding RNA, 263 nt
Organism: Girardinichthys multiradiatus
Lineage: Eukaryota; Metazoa; Chordata; Actinopteri; Cyprinodontiformes; Goodeidae
Exons: 2
Source: RefSeq, a predicted model, not a curated record
CAGGGGCCAUCCAACAUUAGGAUGCAUCAUCAGCCGCUUGACUCGAUCUAGUGCUGAUUGCUUUGGCUUGAGUCAUCAGAAGGUCAACACAUUUACAGGGCAGAGGACACAUUUAGGCAGUUUUAGGGAUACAAUGUCCCUGAUUGGUCAAGACAACGCUUCACGAAUCCCUGGUGGAGUUCAGAACACAUUGGAGUGCUACAAACCCAUUAGGAAUCAUUUACGAAUCCUAAAAAUGAAUAAACGAAUUUGUUGAGAAAUAA